UGGGGAAUAUUGCACAAUGGGCGAAAGCCUGAUGCAGCGACGCCGCGUGAGGGAUGACGGCCUUCGGGUUGUAAACCUCUUUCAGCAGGGAAGAAGCGAAAGUGACGGUACCUGCAGAAGAAGCGCCGGCUAACUACGUGCCAGCAGCCGCGGUAAUACGUAGGGCGCAAGCGUUGUCCGGAAUUAUUGGGCGUAAAGAGCUCGUAGGCGGCUUGUCACGUCGGAUGUGAAAGCCCGGGGCUUAACCCCGGGUCUGCAUUCGAUACGGGCUAGCUAGAGUGUGGUAGGGGAGAUCGGAAUUCCUGGUGUAGCGGUGAAAUGCGCAGAUAUCAGGAGGAACACCGGUGGCGAAGGCGGAUCUCUGGGCCAUUACUGACGCUGAGGAGCGAAAGCGUGGGGAGCGAACA
RNAcentral lists this ribosomal RNA (407 nucleotides) under uncultured Streptomyces sp. Its description in RNAcentral is "bacterial SSU rRNA". It matches the Rfam family "Bacterial small subunit ribosomal RNA", at positions 355 to 774 of the family's 1533-position model. Lineage: Bacteria; Bacillati; Actinomycetota; Actinomycetes; Kitasatosporales; Streptomycetaceae. The record is from RNAcentral.